AUGUUGUGGUUUGUUGUCCUCUCAGUCUAUCAGGUGGAGGUGGAUUCAGGGGCGGAGUCUGUCCAGCUGCCCUGCAAAACCAUAGUUUGCCCGUGUAAAGUCGCUAAAGUGGUGUGGGAGGAUGAAGAGUACGAUGACGUCCAUGUGUAUCAGAACGGUUCUGACCAGCCUGAAGAACAGGACAGUGUUUACAAAGGUCGAACAGAGAUGAAGAGAAAACUGCUGGAACCUGGAGACCUCAGUCUGACCCUGAAAUACCCCACAGACACAGACAGUAAGACCUACACCUGCACCGUCUACAACAGGGAGGAAGACAUCCUGAUGGAGAAAGAUGUGGUGCUGAAGGUCAAAGUCUGUCAGGUGGAGGUGGAGGAGGGGGAGGAGUCUGUCCAGCUGCCCUUCAGAACUACACCUGACCUGCCUGAGGACGCUACAGUGAUGUGGGACUGCUAUAAAGGAUCAUACAGGAGAGUCCACCUGUAUAAGAACAGAUCUGACCAGCCUGGAAAACAAAACCAGGUUUACAAAGACAGAACAGAGAUGAAGAAAGACCUGCUGAAGACUGGAGACCUCAGUCUGACCCUGAAACACCUCAAAGAGACAGACACAGGAAGAUACGAGUGUGAAGUCUACAAGGAUGGAUACAGACUGAGAGUGAAAACAGUGAUGCUCAAAGUGAAAGGUCUGUAUGAAGAUACAGAACAGAGGUCUGUGUGUCUGUCUGUGAUUGGCUGCUUGUCUCUGGUUGGUUGCUUGUCUCUGAUUGGUUGCUUGUCUCUGGUUGGUUGCUUGUCUCUGGUUGGCUGCUCGUCUCUGGUUGGCUGCUUGUCUCUGGUUGGCUGCUUGUCUCUGGUUGGCUGCUUGUCUCUGUCUAACUGUCCUCUGUCUCCUCUGCAGGGAGAACUCGGAUCAAAGAUGAAACAGAGGACAUCAGGAACAGAAGCAGCUCCACUGAUCCGACUCCUCUGAUGGCUGAUCAAUCUGUUUGAUCGGUCUGUUGGUCAAUCUUUGAUUAUUGAUCUGAUGUGACUUUGGAUCAGAGACUAAAUGGAGGUGAAGGAGCUGAUGGAGGACGGAUGAAGACAGGAGGACGCUUCAUCAGCUUCUUCUUCACUCUGACUCUCACACACAGUCUACACACUCACUAUUGAUGACUAUUGAUCAGUGAUGUCAGAGUGAUGUCAGAGUGAUGUCACAUGGUGGUUUGGACUGAAACAUGCCACUUUAUAUGAAGUUUAGUGACAAACCUUUGAUGGAAAUACACACCAAAAGUUAAAUGUAAAGAUAUAUGUCUACUAAUUAUUGUUUUAUGCUUUCGAAAUAAAAAGAUGAUUUAAUCAAUGAAUAAAUGGACAUUCUUUCAUAUUUUAAUUUAUUUUGAGUCCAACGUCAUGUCUUUAAUGUGGAUCUGUGUCAUCUUCACUUCAUCAGUGUGUUUCAGCUGCAGGACCAUGUUUUCUUCACAGAAACACAUGAAGAACAGAU
RNAcentral lists this long non-coding RNA (1485 nucleotides) under Sparus aurata (gilthead seabream). RNAcentral's name for it is "lncRNA (ENSSAUG00010002873.1)". The record is from RNAcentral. Lineage: Eukaryota; Metazoa; Chordata; Actinopteri; Spariformes; Sparidae.